AGCGAACGUUAGCGGCGGGCCUAACACAUGCAAGUCGAACGCGAAAGGUCUUCGGACUGAGUAGAGUGGCGCACGGGUGAGUAACACGUAGGUAAUCUACCCUUUGGCGGGGGAUAACGUUCCGAAAGGAGCGCUAAUACCGCAUAAGACCACGGAGUCUCCGGACGCUGUGGGAAAAGGUGGCCUCUUCUUGAAAGCUACCACCGAAGGAUGAGCCUGCGUCCCAUCAGCUAGUUGGUAAGGUAAUGGCUUACCAAGGCGAAGACGGGUAGCUGGUUUGAGAGAAUGAUCAGCCACACUGGCACUGGAACACGGGCCAGACUCCUACGGGAGGCAGCAGUGAGGAAUAUUGGGCAAUGGGCGAAAGCCUGACCCAGCCACGCCGCGUGAGUGAUGAAGGCCCUCGGGUCGUAAAGCUCUGUGGAGAGGGACGAAAACCCCGGUUUCGUAAA
RNAcentral lists this ribosomal RNA (452 nucleotides) under uncultured bacterium. RNAcentral's name for it is "bacterial SSU rRNA". It matches the Rfam family "Bacterial small subunit ribosomal RNA", at positions 29 to 464 of the family's 1533-position model. The record is from RNAcentral.